Molecule: ribosomal RNA, 253 nt
Filed under: uncultured bacterium
Lineage: Bacteria
Description: partial 16S ribosomal RNA
Rfam family: Bacterial small subunit ribosomal RNA
Source: RNAcentral
UACGGGGGGGGCAAGCGUUGUUCGGAAUUACUGGGCGUAAAGGGCUCGUAGGCGGCCAACUAAGUCGGAUGUGAAAUCCCCAGGCUCAACUUGGGAACUGCAUCCGAUACUGGAUGGCUUGAAUUCGGGAGAGGGAUGCAGAAUUCCAGGCGUAGCGGUGAAAUGCGUAGAUAUCUGGAGGAACACCGGUGGCGAAGGCGGUUCUCUGGGCCUUACCUGACGCUGAGGAGCGAAAGCGUGGGGAGCGAACAGG